GACGAACGCUGGCGGCGUGCUUAACACAUGCAAGUCGAACGGUGAAGCGCCUUCCUUUUUGGUUGGUGUGGAUGAGUGGCGAACGGGUGAGUAACACGUGAGUAACCUGCCCCCUUCUUCUGGAUAACCGCAUGAAAGUGUGGCUAAUACGGGAUAUUCUGGGUCUGUCGCAUGAUGGGUCUGGGAAAGAUAUUGUUUCGGUGGGGGAUGGGCUGGCGGCCUAUCAGCUUGUUGGUGGGGUGAUGGCCUACCAAGGCGGUGACGGGUAGCCGGCCUGAGAGGGUGGGCGGUCACAGUGGGACUGAGACACGGAGGAGACUGCGACGGGAGGCAGCAGUGGGGAAUAUUGCACAAUGGGCGAAAGGCUGAUGCAGCGACGCGGCGUGAGGGAUGGAGGCCUGCGGGUUGUGAACCUCUUUCGGCAGUGAAGCGGGCUUGCCUAGUUUGUGGGUGGGUUGACGGUAGCUGGAGAAGAAGCGCCGGCUAACUACGUG
This 494-nucleotide ribosomal RNA is filed under the name uncultured bacterium. RNAcentral describes it as "partial 16S ribosomal RNA". It matches the Rfam family "Bacterial small subunit ribosomal RNA", at positions 28 to 507 of the family's 1533-position model. The record is from RNAcentral.